GUCUCUGUAACGCAAUGGAUAGCGUGUUGGACUUCUAAUCCAAAAGUCGUGGGUUCGAAUUAUACCUGGGAUG
RNAcentral lists this transfer RNA (73 nucleotides) under Trichonephila inaurata madagascariensis. It matches the Rfam family "tRNA". Rfam says of the family: Transfer RNA (tRNA) molecules are approximately 80 nucleotides in length. Their secondary structure includes four short double-helical elements and three loops (D, anti-codon, and T loops). Lineage: Eukaryota; Metazoa; Arthropoda; Arachnida; Araneae; Nephilidae. The record is from Rfam by way of RNAcentral.